RNAcentral lists this transfer RNA (76 nucleotides) under Marmota monax (woodchuck). Its description in RNAcentral is "tRNA.Thr". Lineage: Eukaryota; Metazoa; Chordata; Mammalia; Rodentia; Sciuridae. The record is from RNAcentral.
GGGGAUAUAUCUCAGUUGCCAGAGUGCUUGCCUUGUAUGCAUGCAUAAGUCCCUAGGUUCAAUCCCUGGCACUCCA